AACAGGAUUAGAUACCCUGGUAGUCCACGCCGUAAACGAUGAGUGCUAAGUGUUGGAGGGUUUCCGCCCUUCAGUGCUGCAGCAAACGCAUUAAGCACUCCGCCUGGGGAGUACGACCGCAAGGUUGAAACUCAAAGGAAUUGACGGGGGCCCGCACAAGCGGUGGAGCAUGUGGUUUAAUUCGAAGCAACGCGAAGAACCUUACCAGGUCUUGACAUCCUUUGACCACUCUAGAGAUAGAGCUUCCCCUUCGGGGGCAAAGUGACAGGUGGUGCAUGGUUGUCGUCAGCUCGUGUCGUGAGAUGUUGGGUUAAGUCCCGCAACGAGCGCAACCCUUAUUGUUAGUUGCCAUCAUUUAGUUGGGCACUCUAGCGAGACUGCCGGUGACAAACCGGAGGAAGGUGGGGAUGACGUCAAAUCAUCAUGCCCCUUAUGACCUGGGCUACACACGUGCUACAAUGGGAAGUACAACGAGUUGCGAAGUCGCGAGGCUAAGCUAAUCUCUUAAAGCUUCUCUCAGUUCGGAUUGUAGGCUGCAACUCGCCUACAUGAAGCCGGAAUCGCU
RNAcentral lists this ribosomal RNA (565 nucleotides) under uncultured Enterococcus sp. Its description in RNAcentral is "bacterial SSU rRNA". It matches the Rfam family "Bacterial small subunit ribosomal RNA", at positions 771 to 1336 of the family's 1533-position model. The record is from RNAcentral. Lineage: Bacteria; Bacillati; Bacillota; Bacilli; Lactobacillales; Enterococcaceae.